GGGUUGUGAGGUUAAGCGACUAAGCGUACACGGUGGAUGCCCUGGCAGUCAGAGGCGAUGAAGGACGUGCUAAUCUGCGAAAAGCGCCGGCGAGGUGAUAUGAACCCUUGACCCGGCGAUGUCCGAAUGGGGAAACCCAGUGCAAUCCGUUGCACUAUCGUUAACUGAAUACAUAGGUUAACGAGGCGAACCGGGGGAACUGAAACAUCUAAGUACCCCGAGGAAAAGAAAUCAACCGAGAUUCCCCCAGUAGCGGCGAGCGAACGGGGAGCAGCCCGGAGUCUGAAUCAGCUUGUGUGUUAGUGGAACGGUCUGGAAAGUCCGACGGUACAGGGUGAUAGUCCCGUACACGAAAAUGCACAGGUUGUGAACUCGAAGAGUAGGGCGGGACACGUGGUAUCCUGUCUGAAUAUGGGGGGACCAUCCUCCAAGGCUAAAUACUCCUGACUGACCGAUAGUGAACCAGUACCGUGAGGGAAAGGCGAAAAGAACCCCGGCGAGGGGAGUGAAAAAGAACCUGAAACCGUGUACGUACAAGCAGUGGGAGCCUCUUUAUGGGGUGACUGCGUACCUUUUGUAUAAUGGGUCAGCGACUUAUAUUCUGUAGCAAGGUUAACCGUAUAGGGGAGCCGAAGGGAAACCGAGUCUUAACUGGGCGUUAAGUUGCAGGGUAUAGACCCGAAACCCGGUGAUCUAGCCAUGGGCAGGUUGAAGGUUGGGUAACACUAACUGGAGGACCGAACCGACUAAUGUUGAAAAAUUAGCGGAUGACCUGUGGCUGGGGGUGAAAGGCCAAUCAAACCGGGAGAUAGCUGGUUCUCCCCGAAAGCUAUUUAGGUAGCGCCUCGUGAACUCAUCUUCGGGGGUAGAGCACUGUUUCGGCUAGGGGGCCAUCCCGGCUUACCAACCCGAUGCAAACUACGAAUACCGAAGAAUGUUAUCACGGGAGACACACGGCGGGUGCUAACGUCCGUCGUGAAGAGGGAAACAACCCAGACCGCCAGCUAAGGUCCCAAAGUCAUGGUUAAGUGGGAAACGAUGUGGGAAGGCACAGACAGCCAGGAUGUUGGCUUAGAAGCAGCCAUCAUUUAAAGAAAGCGUAAUAGCUCACUGGUCGAGUCGGCCUGCGCGGAAGAUGUAACGGGGCUAAACCAUGCACCGAAGCUGCGGCAGCGACACUUAUGUGUUGUUGGGUAGGGGAGCGUUCUGUAAGCCGUUGAAGGUGUGCUGUGAGGCAUGCUGGAGGUAUCAGAAGUGCGAAUGCUGACAUAAGUAACGAUAAAGCGGGUGAAAAGCCCGCUCGCCGGAAGACCAAGGGUUCCUGUCCAACGUUAAUCGGGGCAGGGUGAGUCGACCCCUAAGGCGAGGCCGAAAGGCGUAGUCGAUGGGAAACAGGUUAAUAUUCCUGUACUUGGUGUUACUGCGAAGGGGGGACGGAGAAGGCUAUGUCAGCCGGGCGACGGUUGUCCCGGUUUAAGCAUGUAGGCGGAGGUUCCAGGUAAAUCCGGUACCUUUUAACGCUGAGGUGUGAUGACGAGGCACUACGGUGCUGAAGUGAUAAAUGCCCUGCUUCCAGGAAAAGCCUCUAAGCAUCAGGUAACACGAAAUCGUACCCCAAACCGACACAGGUGGUCAGGUAGAGAAUACCAAGGCGCUUGAGAGAACUCGGGUGAAGGAACUAGGCAAAAUGGUGCCGUAACUUCGGGAGAAGGCACGCUGAUGUGUAGGUGAAGCCCCUGCGGGCGGAGCUGAAAUCAGUCGAAGAUACCAGCUGGCUGCAACUGUUUAUUAAAAACACAGCACUGUGCAAACACGAAAGUGGACGUAUACGGUGUGACGCCUGCCCGGUGCCGGAAGGUUAAUUGAUGGGGUUAGCGGCAACGCGAAGCUCUUGAUCGAAGCCCCGGUAAACGGCGGCCGUAACUAUAACGGUCCUAAGGUAGCGAAAUUCCUUGUCGGGUAAGUUCCGACCUGCACGAAUGGCGUAAUGAUGGCCAGGCUGUCUCCACCCGAGACUCAGUGAAAUUGAACUCGCUGUGAAGAUGCAGUGUACCCGCGGCAAGACGGAAAGACCCCGUGAACCUUUACUAUAGCUUGACACUGAACACUGGUCCUUGAUGUGUAGGAUAGGUGGGAGGCUUUGAAGCGUGGACGCCAGUCUGCGUGGAGCCAACCUUGAAAUACCACCCUUUAAUGGCUGGUGUUCUAACGUAGACCCGUAAUCCGGGUUGCGGACAGUGUCUGGUGGGUAGUUUGACUGGGGCGGUCUCCUCCCAAAGAGUAACGGAGGAGCACGAAGGUUGGCUAAUCCUGGUCGGACAUCAGGAGGUUAGUGCAAUGGCAUAAGCCAGCUUGACUGCGAGCGUGACGGCGCGAGCAGGUGCGAAAGCAGGUCAUAGUGAUCCGGUGGUUCUGAAUGGAAGGGCCAUCGCUCAACGGAUAAAAGGUACUCCGGGGAUAACAGGCUGAUACCGCCCAAGAGUUCAUAUCGACGGCGGUGUUUGGCACCUCGAUGUCGGCUCAUCACAUCCUGGGGCUGAAGUAGGUCCCAAGGGUAUGGCUGUUCGCCAUUUAAAGUGGUACGCGAGCUGGGUUUAGAACGUCGUGAGACAGUUCGGUCCCUAUCUGCCGUGGGCGCUGGAGAAUUGAGGGGGGCUGCUCCUAGUACGAGAGGACCGGAGUGGACGCAUCACUGGUGUUCGGGUUGUCAUGCCAAUGGCACUGCCCGGUAGCUAAAUGCGGAAGAGAUAAGUGCUGAAAGCAUCUAAGCACGAAACUUGCCCCGAGAUGAGUUCUCCCUGAGACUUUAAGUCUCCUGAAGGAACGUUGAAGACGACGACGUUGAUAGGUCGGGUGUGUAAGCGCAGCGAUGCGUUGAGCUAACCGAUACUAAUGAACCGUGAGGCUUAACCUUACAACGCCGAAGGUGUUU
Molecule: ribosomal RNA, 2932 nt
Filed under: Enterobacter hormaechei
Lineage: Bacteria; Pseudomonadati; Pseudomonadota; Gammaproteobacteria; Enterobacterales; Enterobacteriaceae
Description: 23S ribosomal RNA
Rfam family: Bacterial large subunit ribosomal RNA
Source: RNAcentral